RNAcentral lists this transfer RNA (84 nucleotides) under Terriglobia bacterium. Its description in RNAcentral is "tRNA-Ile". The record is from RNAcentral. Lineage: Bacteria; Pseudomonadati; Acidobacteriota; Terriglobia.
GGAGGGUAACUGUCAGGUGGCAGAACCCGAUUUAUAACCGGGAAUCGUCUCGCAGGCGAUGGGGUUCAAAUCCCCUGCCCUCCG